UCCUACGGGGGGCAGCAGUGAGGAAUAUUGGUCAAUGGGCGGGAGCCUGAACCAGCCAAGCCGCGUGAGGGAAGAAGGUACAGCGUAUCGUAAACCUCUUUUGUCAGGGAACAAAGGCGGGGACUAGUCCCCGGAUGAGGGUACCUGAAGAAAAAGCAUCGGCUAACUCCGUGCCAGCAGCCGCGGUAAUACGGAGGAUGCGAGCGUUAUCCGGAUUUACUGGGUGUAAAGGGAGCGUAGACGGCAGCGCAAGUCUGGAGUGAAAUGCCGGGGCCCAACCCCGGAACUGCUCUGGAAACUGUGAA
RNAcentral lists this ribosomal RNA (305 nucleotides) under uncultured bacterium. RNAcentral describes it as "bacterial SSU rRNA". It matches the Rfam family "Bacterial small subunit ribosomal RNA", at positions 337 to 639 of the family's 1533-position model. The record is from RNAcentral.